Molecule: non-coding RNA, 114 nt
Filed under: Kibdelosporangium aridum
Lineage: Bacteria; Bacillati; Actinomycetota; Actinomycetes; Pseudonocardiales; Pseudonocardiaceae
Description: TPP sequence
Rfam family: TPP riboswitch aptamer (THI element)
About the family: Vitamin B(1) in its active form thiamin pyrophosphate (TPP) is an essential coenzyme that is synthesised by coupling of pyrimidine and thiazole moieties in bacteria. The previously detected thiamin-regulatory element, thi box was extended, resulting in a new, highly conserved RNA secondary structure, the THI element, which is widely distributed in eubacteria and also occurs in some archaea. Analysis of operon structures identified a large number of new candidate thiamin-regulated genes, mostly transporters, in various prokaryotic organisms.
Source: Rfam by way of RNAcentral
CGGUUCUGCCACGGGAGUCCGGUGCAACCGGGCUGAGAGGAGGGCGAACCAGCCCUCGACCGUAUGAACCUGAUCCGGGUCAUGCCGGCGCAGGGACGGGAGGAACGCACAGUG